AUUGGACAUGGAGGCACUCUGAUCCAGCCAUGCCGCGUGAAGGAAGACGGCCUUAUGGGUUGUAAACUUCUUUUAUACAGGAAGAAACCUUUCCACGUGUGGAAAGUUGACGGUACUGUAAGAAUAAGGAUCGGCUAACUCCGUGCCAGCAGCCGCGGUAAUACGGAGGAUCCAAGCGUUAUCCGGAAUUAUUGGGUUUAAAGGGUCCGCAGGCUGUUUGUUAAGUCAGAGGUGAAAUCCUACCGCUCAACGGUAGAACUGCCUUUGAUACUGGCAAACUUGAGUUAUUGUGAAGUAGUUAGAAUGUGUAGUGUAGCGGUGAAAUGCAUAGAUAUUACACAGAAUACCGAUUGCGAAAGCAGAUUACUAACAAUAUACUGACGCUGAGGGACGAAAGCGUGGGUAGCGAACAGGAUUAGAUACCCUGGUAGUCCACGCCGUAAACGAUGGUCACUAGCUGUUCGAUGUACAUUGGUACGUUGAGUGGCUAAGCGAAAGUGAUAAGUGACCCACCUGGGGAGUACGCUCGCAAGAGUGAAACUCAAAGGAAUUGACGGGGGCCCGCACAAGCGGUGGAGCAUGUGGUUUAAUUCGAUGAUACGCGAGGAACCUUACCAGGACUUAAAUGUAAGUUGCAUGAUUCAGAAAUGAAUCUUUCUUCGGACUACUUACAAGGUGCUGCAUGGUUGUCGUCAGCUCGUGCCGUGAGGUGUCAGGUUAAGUCCUAUAACGAGCGCAACCCCUAUCGUUAGUUGCCAUCAAGUAAAGUUGGGAACUCUAGCGAAACUGCCGGUGCAAACCGAGAGGAAGGUGGGGAUGACGUCAAAUCAUCACGGCCCUUACGUUCUGGGCUACACACGUGCUACAAUGGUCGGUACAGAAAGCAGCCACUAUGCGAAUAGGAGCUAAUCUUUAAAACCGAUCUCAGUUCGGAUCGCAGUCUGCAACUCGACUGCGUGAAGCUGGAAUCGCUAGUAAUCGGAUAUCAGCCAUGAUCCGGUGAAUACGUUCCCGGGCCUUGUACACACCGCCCGUCAAGCCAUGGAAGCUGGGGGUACCUAAAGUCGGUGACCGAAAGGAGCUGCCUAGGGUAAAACUAGUGACUGGGGCUAAGUCGUGACAAGGUAGCCGUACCGGAAGGUGCGGCUGGAAUACCUCCUUUCU
This 1164-nucleotide ribosomal RNA is filed under the name uncultured Flavobacteriaceae bacterium. Its description in RNAcentral is "bacterial SSU rRNA". It matches the Rfam family "Bacterial small subunit ribosomal RNA", at positions 363 to 1533 of the family's 1533-position model. Lineage: Bacteria; Pseudomonadati; Bacteroidota; Flavobacteriia; Flavobacteriales; Flavobacteriaceae. The record is from RNAcentral.